UAAUCAUGCAAGUCGAGCGGAAUGAUGAAGAAGCUUGCUUCUUCUGAUUUUAGCGGCGGACGGGUGAGUAACACGUGGGCAACCUACCUUGUAAAUUGGGAUAACUCCGGGAAACCGGGGCUAAUACCGAAUAAACCAUUUUGCUUCAUGGCAAGAUGUUGAAAGGCGGCUUCGGCUGUCACUACUAAAUGGGCCCGCGGCGUAUUAACUAGUUGGUAGGGUAAUGGCCUACCAAGGCGACGAUACGUAGCCGACCUGAGAGGGUGAUCGGCCACACUGGGACUGAGACACGGCCCAGACUCCUACGGGAGGCAGCAGUAGGGAAUCUUCCACAAUGGACGAAAGUCUGAUGGAGCAACGCCGCGUGAGUGAAGAAGGUUUUCGGAUCGUAAAACUCUGUUGUAAGGGAAGAACACGUACAAAAGUAACUGCUCGUACCUUGACGGUACCUUAUUACAAAGCCACGGCUAACUACGUGCCACCAACCGCGGUAAUACGUAUGUGGCAAGCGUUGUCCGGAAUUAUUGGGCGUAAAGCGCGCGCACGCAGUUCUUUAAGUCUGAUGUGAAAGCCCACGGCUCAACCGUGGAGGGUCAUUGGAAACUGGAAAACUUGAGUACAGAAGAGGAAAGCGGAAUUCCACGUGUAGCGGUGAAAUGCGUAGAGAUGUGGAGGAACACCACUGGCGAACGCGGCUUUCUGGUCUGUAACUGACGCUGAGGCACGAAAGCGUGGGGAGCAAACAGGAUUACAUACCCUGGUAGUCCACGCCGUAAACGAUGAGUGCUAAGUGUUAUGGGGUUUCCGCCUCUUACUGCUGCAACUAACGCAUUAAGCACUCCGCCUGGGGAGUAC
Molecule: ribosomal RNA, 855 nt
Filed under: Paenisporosarcina sp. B2225_3
Lineage: Bacteria; Bacillati; Bacillota; Bacilli; Caryophanales; Caryophanaceae
Description: bacterial SSU rRNA
Rfam family: Bacterial small subunit ribosomal RNA
Source: RNAcentral